Molecule: ribosomal RNA, 680 nt
Filed under: uncultured archaeon
Lineage: Archaea
Description: bacterial SSU rRNA
Rfam family: Archaeal small subunit ribosomal RNA
Source: RNAcentral
CUGCUCAGUAACACGUAGCUAACCUAACCUUCGGUCAAGAAUAACCUCGGGAAACUGAGGAUAAUACUUGAUAAAAAAUUUUCUCUGGAAUGAAAAAUCUUUGAAAUUCGAGCCUAAGGAUGGGGCUGCGGCUGAUUAGCUAGUUGUUGGUGUAAAAGACUAACAAGGCAAUGAUCAGUAAGGGCUCUUAGCGGAGAGGCCCUGAGAAGGAAUCUGAGACACUAUUCCUAGCUCUACGGGGUGCAGCAGUCGAGGAAAUUUUUCAAUGCCCGCAAGGGUGAACGAGUAAGCCAGAGUGUUUUCUUUACGAAAACUUUUGUCUGUUGUAAAAAGACAGACGAAUAAGGACUGGGCAAGACCGGUGCCAGCCGCCGCGGUAAUCCCGGCGGUCCAAGUCGCAUCCACAAUUAUUGGGUCUAAAACAUCCGUAGCUUGUUUUGUAAGUCUCUUGUGAAAUUUCAUAUCUCAAGUAUGAAGCGUGCAAGAGAUACUACAUUGCUAGAGACUGGAAGACGCAAAGAGUACGACGGAGGUAGCGGUAAAAUGUGUUAAUCUCUGCCGGACUAACAAUGGCGAAGGCACUUUGCGGGUACAGAUCUGACAGUGAGGGAUGAAGGCUAGGGGCGCAAAAGGGAUUAGAUACCCCUGUAGUCCUAGCAGUAAACACUGCUCACUAAACA